RNAcentral lists this ribosomal RNA (450 nucleotides) under uncultured Neisseria sp. RNAcentral describes it as "bacterial SSU rRNA". It matches the Rfam family "Bacterial small subunit ribosomal RNA", at positions 22 to 468 of the family's 1533-position model. Lineage: Bacteria; Pseudomonadati; Pseudomonadota; Betaproteobacteria; Neisseriales; Neisseriaceae. The record is from RNAcentral.
GCUCAGAUUGAACGCUGGCGGCAUGCUUUACACAUGCAAGUCGAACGGCAGCACGAAAGAGCUUGCUCUUUUGGUGGCGAGUGGCGAACGGGUGAGUAAUACAUUGGAACGUACCGAGUAAUGGGGGAUAACUGUCCGAAAGGAUGGCUAAUACCGCAUACGCUCUGAGGAGGAAAGCGGGGGACCUUCGGGCCUCGCGUUAUUCGAGCGGCCAAUGUCUGAUUAGCUAGUUGGUGGGGUAAAGGCCUACCAAGGCGACGAUCAGUAGUGGGUCUGAGAGGAUGAUCCGCCACACUGGGACUGAGACACGGCCCAGACUCCUACGGGAGGCAGCAGUGGGGAAUUUUGGACAAUGGGCGAAAGCCUGAUCCAGCCAUGCCGCGUGUCUGAAGAAGGCCUUCGGGUUGUAAAGGACUUUUGUCAGGGAAGAAAGGGUUUGGGUUAAUACCC